This is a small nucleolar RNA of Lycium barbarum (goji berry), 106 nucleotides long. The record is from RefSeq and is a predicted model, not a curated record. NCBI's taxonomy places the organism in Eukaryota, Viridiplantae, Streptophyta, Magnoliopsida, Solanales, Solanaceae.
AAACCAUGAUUCGGAGACUUCUGCAAAUAUUUCAUGAAUCUCUCCCAUGCUUCAAAUAGUUUUUCCCUUAAAAGCUGUGUGAAAUCAUAUAUCUUGUCACGAAUUU